CUCAAGCAAAGGGUUUACUGAAGGAUACACCAAAAAAGCCUAUGAAGAUACGCACAUCAACGCACAUUACCUGUUCAAUUACCUUUCUCUGAGAGUUACUUUCAAUUUACUUUCUUCUCUUUCUAUUCUCGCUUUCAUUCGCUUCCAACUCUGGCAAGCAAAUUUCAAGUUCACUUUCAUAUCUUUCUCUUAUCUCAUCCCAUGUAUAGCCUCUGAUGGUUACGAUGGAACCAAAUUCAAGGUGAAAGAUCUUUCAAAGUAGUUCAAGGUUUGAAAGCAGAAACUUCAUGGACACAAAUGGGUAAAAAUUUACCAAAGGAAACCUUGAAUCUCUUCAUUUUACCUUUCUUUGGCCUGAACACCUUGCAUUUACCUUGACUAUCAUCAUUUCAUUUCCAAAUCACAACGACCUUCUUACUUUCUUUCAUCAUCACCAUCAACAUCAUCAUUUCAUCUUCUUUCAUCUUCCUUUAUCUUUCAUUUCAAGAUCACUUUUUACGUUGUACUUUGUUAUUUAUAACAUUUUUACCUUCUAUGUUAUCAACUAUUCAAUAUCAAUUCAGACUCAAUCUAUUAAUUUAUCAACUAUACAUAUGGACUUUAAUUGUUUCCCAUUAACUUGGCUAUCUUGUUAACUGCCUUUAAAAAAUUCAUCAUCAUCCAAAAAUGUAAUUAAGGGUCCCUAAGAAAUACUCUGAAUGAACAUAAAGUGAUUUUUAGAGAAAUUUAUUAUUGAUGAUUUCACCCAAAUUUUUAGAAUCAGAGAUAUUCGAAGCUAGAUUUUUAGAUUAUUCAGCUUAACAUAAUGACCAGAACUUCUCAAUAGAACGAGCUUUUGUACAAUUUUGACAUUUAUCGACUUUUCUAAUGAAAUCGAGGCCAUUUUACGCAACCAGUAAAAUAAAGCAAAAAUGAAUUUCGAGUAAUGUAAUGUUUUUCCCAUAGGGUUUAAUAGGGAAAUAGGGAAAUCUCGUUUGAGCGCAUCGCGUUUGACCUUAUUUAUUGGGUUAGCUUCACGAAUAUAAAUUAACUUUUUAUUUAAAGUGUAUUUCAUUUUCCAACGCAAUACUCAAUAUCCCUGAAAAGCUGUUAUUUUUUAAUUUGAAUCCAUUCCGAGUGUUUCUUAGGAACUCUUUAACUCUUCUAAAUCAUUUUCAUGCCACUUUCAAUAGAAAGAUAAUUUUCCUUUUCUUUUAUUCUUUGGCUAUUUUUAUUUCAACUUUAUUAUUGCAUAUCAAACCAAUUAAUAUUAUUGCACUCGCCUACAGAAAUUAUUUGAAAUGUUUACAAUUUUCUGACCUCAAGACAAAGAACUUUGAUUAAAUAGAAAGUGUUUCAAUGGUCAAACACCCAGUAUUGUAUAACUUGUGUUACUAUAAAUUGGCUCAAUUCACUUUGAAAUUAUAAAGUAAUCUUUAUGGAGAAUGGGUUUACAUCAUUAUUUGCUGGCCAAUUUUGAACUUCUGACAAUUCAAUUACAAUGAGCAUGGUUGACUCUAUGGCUAUUAAAGUGUAUUGAACAAUCAUCUCAAUAACGAUUGAUAGCAAGCUUAUAAAAAGUAACAAGUAUUACCUCCUUUAUCUGACAGAUUGCUUUUAAAUAGGGAAUCAUCAUCACUACAAAAUUGUGAUUUAAUAAAUUCUGAGAAGUUUUUCUUUAUUGUACAAGUGUUUGAUUUACAUUAACUCAUAAUAUCUCAAGAUUUUAGACCUUGACUGUCUCUAGCAAUACACUGACCAGCAUAAUGGGUUAGUGAUAGAAGUACAAUUUAAUCAAAUGGAACCAAUUUUCUUGGGAAAAUUUCGAUGAAUUGACUUGUUGGUGUAACAUCUAUUUCAACAUUCACACCAAUCAAUUGAGAUAAUGAUGAUAAUGGCGAUGAAGAUGUGCUGCAGUAUAAUUGACCAUUGAGCCAAGAAAAAAGGACUAACGUGAAAAUGGUUUGCCAAAAAGAUGUAUAAAAAGGUCUGUCCAUCCAUCCAAAAAGUUCAUUCAAAAAACAAAAGUCAAUCGUUGAGUUGAGCUGAUUUGGCUAUUAUUGUGCUUGCUGUGAGUUUUGUUACCAUCUGGUAUCGCAAUUAAUCCAAAAUGAACUUGCUGUUACCUUUCACUUUUCUCUUGUGUCUUAUUGUGACCAUUGAAGGAGGCUUCUAUAAACAUAAAUACAUCGUCAAGAAACCUUUUUACAAAAAGCCUGUCCAUUUUGUCCACUUUCCUGUUAGACCCAAACCGGCCUUUUUUCAUGGAGGAAAGUUCAAACAUGGAGGAUUUGGAUUCAAAAAAGUCUGGUGGAAACAUGGUUAAUCUAUGGAUUAUACUCUUGGAAAAUUUUAUGCAUAAAUAAAAUUCAACUGAAAUAGUAAGGUUUGUUUGAAUUAUUCCCAAGAUCUUUUCAGUUUUACUUACCUCAGUCUUUUGGAACAAUACUUUCUAUGCUUUUUUGUAUAAGAUCAACUAUUUGUGCAACUUUCAUUAACCACUUUCUAAGAGUUGAUUGAAUAAAAUUUUUUUGAUUUGAAAA
Non-coding RNA from Tetranychus urticae (two-spotted spider mite), 2522 nucleotides. NCBI's taxonomy places the organism in Eukaryota, Metazoa, Arthropoda, Arachnida, Trombidiformes, Tetranychidae. The record is from RefSeq and is a predicted model, not a curated record.